RNAcentral lists this long non-coding RNA (1576 nucleotides) under Canis lupus familiaris (dog). Its description in RNAcentral is "lncRNA (ENSCAFG00000050589.1, ENSCAFG00805021893.1, ENSCAFG00845031011.1)". The record is from RNAcentral. Lineage: Eukaryota; Metazoa; Chordata; Mammalia; Carnivora; Canidae.
GCAGAGGGAGAAGCAGGCUCCUCGAGGAGCCCGAUACAGAACUCGAUCCCAGGACCCAGGAUCAUACCCUGAGCUGAAGGCAGAUGCUUGACUGCUGAGCCACCCAGGCGCCCCAGAAUAUUCCAAUUUUCUUAAUUUUAAAGUGCUCUUUAAAGUAAAGAAUUAUAUGAAAAAAAAAUGCCUACAAUUGGCAAAUGACUUGGACAAUUUACAGAGAAAGACAAAGAGCCAUUAAACACUGAAAAGAUGGUCACUCUCAUUCAUGGUAAAACAAAUACAAAUUACAAUUUAAGGAACGGCACCUUAAUCUCCCCAAUUCAAAAAUUGUUAGACAAUUCAUCAUGCUGGUAAGAGUGCAAAGCGCCCCCGUCAGAAGGAACCACAUGAAAUACCAGGAUUUGGCUUUCCUACAAGGUUGGCCAUUUAACAUGGGUCAGCUGACUGUGGUGUUGGGGGGGGUGUAAGUUGGUACAUUGGCAACAGAGGGCAACCUGGCCACCCUGACCAAAGGAAAUAUAUCUAAACAUUUACUGAGCAAAUCUAGAUAAUGCAAGAUGAUCAUAAAGGAUUACUGUGGCAUGAAUAUUCAUUAUGGGAAAAUUCUGGAAAACACUUAAUACACCCAUCAGCAGAAACAACCACACCACAUGCAUCCCUCGGUGGAAACCACAAAGCUGUAGGAAGAAUGAAGAGGCUCUUUCUGUACCAUUAGAGUAUAUAAUGUCCAAUUUAUUGAUACUGCAAAAAGCAAAGUGAGAAUGGUACCCAUUGUGUGCUACCAUUUGUUUGAAAUAAAAAGGUCGGGAGUGGGGCUGGGGCUGGAUGUGUGAGAUAGGAACAUGUGUGUGCACAUGUUGAAUAUUUUUGGGGAAAAAAAGAAAAACAACUCUGGUUGUCUCCAGGAAGAGGGAGCAAAGACUUGAAGGGUGAAGGUGGACAGACAUAUGCCUUGUGUAAGAAUCCUCUUCCGGAUCUUUUGCAUUUUGUACCAUGUGCAUGUAUUUAUUCAUUUUUUUAAGCCUCUCUUCCUUCACACCACAGGCAGGUUUUUUAAAAAAAAUGUAUUUAUAUAUUUUAAAGAUCUUAUUUAUUUAUUCACAAGAGAUACUGAGAGAGAGGCAGAGACAUAGGCAGAGGGAGAAGCAGGCUCCCUGUGGGGAGCCCGAUGUCGAAUUUGAUCCCAGGACCCAGGGAUCAUGCCCUGAGUUGAAGGCAGACCCUCAACCACUGAACCACCCAGGCACCCGCAUAGGCAGGUUUUAAUCUAAAUAAUAAUUGCUCUGAGUUUGUCCUGCUAUAGGCUGUUCUUGUAUGGAGUCAGCUUCUUACCCUAGUAUGUGAAAAGUUGGGUGGGUGACACGUGGAAGCAGUGAUGACCCUAUCAAAUAGGAUAGAAAUUCAUUGUCUAAGGAAAUAAAAUACGUUAGAAGGGGCCACAUAAUGUGCCCCGAAAGAGAGAGACGGUGGCAGGGGAGGGCCAGUGGGAGCUUUCAAGGCAUUACCUCUGGUCACAUGUGGUUCCAGUCCCACCAAUCAUUUCUGAAAUGUGACCCCAGAACGUGGAGAAUGUCAAAUG